Molecule: ribosomal RNA, 756 nt
Filed under: Glomeromycotina sp. OTU31 DJMC-2012
Lineage: Eukaryota; Fungi; Glomeromycota
Description: eukaryotic LSU rRNA
Rfam family: Eukaryotic large subunit ribosomal RNA
Source: RNAcentral
GCGGAGGAAAAGAAACUAACAAGGAUUCCCCUAGUAACGGCGAGUGAAGAGGGAAGAGCUCAAAUUUUAAAUCUGCCUUGUUCCAAGGUCGAGUUGUAAUUUGAAGAAGCGUUUUCUUGGGCUCGCGGCCGGUAGAAGUUCUUUGGAACAGGACAUCAUAGAGGGUGACAAUCCCGUCCGUGACCGGUCGUGCGUUCAUCUACGAUACGCUUUCAAAGAGUCGAGUUGUUUGGGAUUGCAGCUCCAAACGGGUGGUAAACAUCACCUAAGGCUAAAUAUUGGCGAGAGACCGAUAGCGAACAAGUACCGUGAGGGAAAGAUGAAAAGAACUUUGAAAAGAGAGUUAAACAGUACGUGAAAUUGUUGAAAGGGAAACGAUUGAAGUCAGUCGUGCUGGCGCGAAAUCAACCCUCUCGUCUUGAGAUCACAUGGCGCGACGAGCCUCAAAACCGUCACGAAGCGUGAACUCUUGACGAAAAGGUGCACUUUCGUGUCCGCUGGUUAACAUCAAUUUCGAACGUCAUAAAAAGGCUGGAGGGAUGUGGCUCCUUCGGGAGUGUUAUAACCUUUAGCGGAAUGUGGCGUUCGGGAUUGAGGAUUGCAACGAAUACCUUCAGGGCUGUUCCACCUGGCUUCUCAUUGGUAUCCUGGUGACGACAGCUUGCUGACGUCGUUAGGAUCAGCUUCUGAACAGGCUAGAGUGUGAGCAAAUUCGUUAAGGAUGUUAACGUAAUGGCUUUAAACGACCCGUCUUGA